AGCAGCCGCGGUAAUUCCAGCUCCAAUAGCGUAUAUUAAAGUUGCUGCAGUUAAAAAGCUCGUAGUUGAAUUUCGGGACCAUCAUGUCGGUCGUGCCUCGGUACGUACUGGCAUUGUUGGUUUCUCCCUUCUGAAGAACCAUGAUGUCAUUAAUUUGGUGUCUUGGGGAAUCAGGACUGUUACUUUGAAAAAUUAGAGUGUUUAAAGCAGGCUCGCGCUUGAAUACAUUAGCAUGGAAUAAUGAAAUAGGACGUUUGAUUCUAUUUUGUUGGUUUCUAGGAUCGACGUAAUGAUUAAUAGGGAUAGUUGGGGGCAUUAGUAUUCAAUUGUCAGAGGUGAAAUUCUUGGAUUUAUUGAAGACUAACUACUGCGAAAGCAUUUUGCCAAGGAUGUUUUCAUUAAUCAAGAACGAAAGUUAGGGGAUCGGAGACGAUCAGAUACCGUCGUAGUCUUAACCAUAAACU
This 464-nucleotide ribosomal RNA is filed under the name uncultured Glomus. Its description in RNAcentral is "SSU rRNA". It matches the Rfam family "Eukaryotic small subunit ribosomal RNA", at positions 569 to 1038 of the family's 1831-position model. Lineage: Eukaryota; Fungi; Glomeromycota; Glomeromycetes; Glomerales; Glomeraceae. The record is from RNAcentral.